AAAAAUUAAACAUACGAUUGCGCCAAUUAGAAGAAAAAUGACUUCCCUACUCCUUUAUUCGGACUUGGAACCAGCAUUUUACACGGCAAAUGUUUCCUUUUCUGAAACAUAUCUUCUUCUUAAUUACUGCUACUGCAUGGGUACUCACAAAUUUAAUGUGUGUAGUAGCUUGUAACUUCACUUUAAAGUUCAUACGCAUGAUGGGAACAAUUAAAACACUGUCAUCAACAUAUGUGGCUAAAACAUAAUCAGCAAAAGCUUUCAUACAUUUUAAUUAAUUUAGACAUUAACAUGCAACAACUCAUUGAAAGCUUUUCUUCUUUAUUGGCAUAUCUUUAUUAAAUAUUCAGCAAAGC
Molecule: long non-coding RNA, 356 nt
Filed under: Mytilus galloprovincialis (Mediterranean mussel)
Lineage: Eukaryota; Metazoa; Mollusca; Bivalvia; Mytilida; Mytilidae
Source: RNAcentral